This 484-nucleotide ribosomal RNA is filed under the name uncultured bacterium. Its description in RNAcentral is "partial 16S ribosomal RNA". It matches the Rfam family "Bacterial small subunit ribosomal RNA", at positions 899 to 1397 of the family's 1533-position model. The record is from RNAcentral.
ACUCAAAUGAAUUGACGGGGACCCACACAAGCGGUGGAGCAUGGGGUUUAAUUCGAUAGUAAGCGAAGAACCUCACCUAGGCUUGACAUCUAGCGAACCUCCCAGAAACGGGAGGGUGCCGCAAGGAACGCUAAGACAGGCGCUGCACGGUUGUCGUCAGCUCGUGCCUUGAGGUGUACUGUUAAGUCAGCGAACGAGCGCAACCCUCAUCCUAUGUUGUUUUUUCAUGGGAGACUGCCGCCUCCAAGGCGGAGGAAGGUGGGGAUGACGUCAAAUCAGCGUGGCCCUUAUGCCUAGGGCAACACCCGUGCUACAAUGGCCGGUACAAACCGUUGCGAAUCCGCGAGGAGGAGCCAAUCGGAAAAAGCCGGUCUCAGUUCGGAUUGAAGUCUGCAACUCGACUUCAUGAAGUUGGAAUCGCUAGUAACCGUAAAUCAGCUACGUUACGGUGAAUAUGUUCCUGGGUCUUGUACACACCGCCCGU